RNAcentral lists this unclassified non-coding RNA (215 nucleotides) under Hevea brasiliensis (rubber tree). Lineage: Eukaryota; Viridiplantae; Streptophyta; Magnoliopsida; Malpighiales; Euphorbiaceae. The record is from RNAcentral.
CGCCGCUAUACCGCCAGAGCAAGCUUAGAAACGUGUUUUGAGGGCUGGAAAUGGCCGAUAUGCGCCUGAUCGUUGCUGGAGCCGGUGGCCGGAUGGGGCGGACCCUGAUCCGCGCCAUUGCCGAAACCCCGGGGUGCNNNNNNNNCGCGCUGGAGGCACCGGGUUCCGAAUUGCUGGGCCAGGAUUCGGGGCUGCUCGCCGGACUGCCCGGCAAC